ACAAUGAAGAGUUUGAUCCUGGCUCAGGAUGAACGCUAGCUACAGGCUUAACACAUGCAAGUCGAGGGGCAGCAUUUUAGUUUGCUUGCAAACUGAAGAUGGCGACCGGCGCACGGGUGAGUAACACGUAUCCAACCUGCCGAUAACUCCGGGAUAGCCUUUCGAAAGAAAGAUUAAUACCGGAUAGCAUACGAAUAUCGCAUGAUAUUUUUAUUAAAGAAUUUCGGUUAUCGAUGGGGAUGCGUUCCAUUAGUUUGUUGGCGGGGUAACGGCCCACCAAGACUACGAUGGAUAGGGGUUCUGAGAGGAAGGUCCCCCACAUUGGAACUGAGACACGGUCCAAACUCCUACGGGAGGCAGCAGUGAGGAAUAUUGGUCAAUGGGCGAGAGCCUGAACCAGCCAAGUAGCGUGAAGGAUGAAGGCUCUAUGGGUCGUAAACUUCUUUUAUAUGGGAAUAAAGUUUUCCACGUGUGGAAUUUUGUAUGUACCAUAUGAAUAAGGAUCGGCUAACUCCGUGCCAGCAGCCGCGGUAAUACGGAGGAUCCGAGCGUUAUCCGGAUUUAUUGGGUUUAAAGGGAGCGUAGGUGGAUUGUUAAGUCAGUUGUGAAAGUUUGCGGCUCAACCGUAAAAUUGCAGUUGAAACUGGCAGUCUUGAGUACAGUAGAGGUGGGCGGAAUUCGUGGUGUAGCGGUGAAAUGCUUAGAUAUCACGAAGAACUCCGAUUGCGAAGGCAGCUCACUAGACUGUCACUGACACUGAUGCUCGAAAGUGUGGGUAUCAAACAGGAUUAGAUACCCUGGUAGUCCACACAGUAAACGAUGAAUACUCGCUGUUUGCGAUAUACAGUAAGCGGCCAAGCGAAAGCAUUAAGUAUUCCACCUGGGGAGUACGCCGGCAACGGUGAAACUCAAAGGAAUUGACGGGGGCCCGCACAAGCGGAGGAACAUGUGGUUUAAUUCGAUGAUACGCGAGGAACCUUACCCGGGCUUAAAUUGCAACAGAAUAUAUUGGAAACAGUAUAGCCGUAAGGCUGUUGUGAAGGUGCUGCAUGGUUGUCGUCAGCUCGUGCCGUGAGGUGUCGGCUUAAGUGCCAUAACGAGCGCAACCCUUAUCUUUAGUUACUAACAGGUGAUGCUGAGGACUCUAGAGAGACUGCCGUCGUAAGAUGUGAGGAAGGUGGGGAUGACGUCAAAUCAGCACGGCCCUUACGUCCGGGGCUACACACGUGUUACAAUGGGGGGUACAGAAGGCGGCUACCUGGUGACAGGAUGCUAAUCCCAAAAACCUCUCUCAGUUCGGAUCGAAGUCUGCAACCCGACUUCGUGAAGCUGGAUUCGCUAGUAAUCGCGCAUCAGCCAUGGCGCGGUGAAUACGUUCCCGGGCCUUGUACACACCGCCCGUCAAGCCAUGAAAGCCGGGGGUACCUGAAGUACGUAACCGCAAGGAGCGUCCUAGGGUAAAACUGGUAAUUGGGGCUAAGUCGUAACAAGGUAGCCGUACCGGAAGGUGCGGCUGGAACACCUCCUUU
Molecule: ribosomal RNA, 1529 nt
Filed under: Bacteroides ovatus
Lineage: Bacteria; Pseudomonadati; Bacteroidota; Bacteroidia; Bacteroidales; Bacteroidaceae
Description: bacterial SSU rRNA
Rfam family: Bacterial small subunit ribosomal RNA
Source: RNAcentral